AAGGUUUCAAAAAGAAGGUAGCAACAUGUACCGCUCUACAAUUAUCAAAAAAUAAAUACUAAACAUGAUAUCCUAAUUCAAAUAGUACAAAUACGAGUCCAAUGUGUCAACUCCAAAAUGAAACAAAUAUAUGAAUUUCACAAGAAACAAUUAUGUGAAAUAAUAACAGAAUUUGAAACGAGGAACAAAACGAACAAAUAAAAUUUAACAAAAGUAUCGCUGAAAGAG
Molecule: long non-coding RNA, 228 nt
Filed under: Panax ginseng (ginseng)
Lineage: Eukaryota; Viridiplantae; Streptophyta; Magnoliopsida; Apiales; Araliaceae
Description: long non-coding RNA (PGIN_LNC001613)
Source: RNAcentral